GUGUGGCCCCUCCCUCUCUCAGAGUAUGAAGAAGGGGUGGGAGAGAUCAGGGGGAAGCUCUGCUUCAGCUGUGGGGCCACAGAAGGCAGGACUCGGUGAAGAUCUCCACCAUGGCCUGGUCCCCUCUCCUCCUCACCCUCAUCGCUCUCUGCACAGGAUCCUGGGCCCAGUCUGUGACUCAGCCCGCCUCAGUGUCUGGGACCCUGGGCCAGACAGUCACCAUCUCCUGCUCUGGAAGCAGCUCCAACAUCGGGUAUAGUA
This is a non-coding RNA of Equus caballus (horse), 261 nucleotides long. NCBI's taxonomy places the organism in Eukaryota, Metazoa, Chordata, Mammalia, Perissodactyla, Equidae. The record is from the annotation of a RefSeq genome assembly.